Molecule: long non-coding RNA, 1561 nt
Organism: Maniola jurtina (meadow brown)
Lineage: Eukaryota; Metazoa; Arthropoda; Insecta; Lepidoptera; Nymphalidae
Exons: 2
Source: RefSeq, a predicted model, not a curated record
UCUAACCUUAAUUUUAAACCUAUUACGCGACGAUCUCACAACCAAUGGUUAAGUGUCUAUAUAUACGAAUCGUAUGAAGCCUUAGGCUCAAGAGCCGAAUUUUAGUAGGACUGACCUAGGAGAUUUUCAUGACUGUUCAUGGAUCAGCUUGAUCUCUGCAACCGCAUUCGGACGCUCAAUUUCUACUAAAGCGAAGAUAAGUAACAAGUCUAUGCAGUCAUGUAGGCGUUCGCUUUCUCAAAAAUAGUUGCUUAUUUUUGAUCGUCGCUACUAUGAAGUAUAAUAAUAUUUUCUAUAUAUUCAGAACACUAAACCGUUGGCAGUGGAAUCGACGCUUUAUUAUAUCUUUUUAAUUUUUUCUAUGUGAUCACUUUAAUUCAUGGAUAUGCUAUGGAUAUUCAUGGAUAUUCAGGCACACAACUAAAGAAUAUUUGAAACUUUAACAUAAUCCUUAUCUGUUCUAGGAUUAUGAAAUUGGAGAAAUAGGUCUAGAAAAGUAUAGCUCUAUGAAAGAAACGUAAACUUCUUGUAUUUAAAGUGUUAAAGUUUAAUUAGUAAAUAUUGAAACCGUCAGCUGUGAUUUUACAUUUUGCACCUACUUAUAUCUUUAACGAUUUAUUUUAUUUAAAAUUUAAAAAUAAAUGUGUGCCAAAUACAAACUCGAAAUGAAUAUUUACUCAAUUCGGUUCAUAUUCUACUACGAAUUAAUAUUAUUGGUUUUUCGUAAAUUGCAUGAUGAAAUGGAUCAAUGUUUGCAUGUAUUUUGUUUAGAAGAUUAUUAGGUACGUUUUGUUGUGAUUUAAGAUUUUAUUAACUCGUAAGAAAUGUGUGCUUUUAAACUUAAAUAUUUAAAUGCUCGAUGUUUAUUUCCACAUACUUUACGUUUUUAGUUACUAAGUACCUUAUAUUAUUCUCAUUUAUUGCCCGUUCAAUAAUAUUAUGUUAACGUGUAAUUUUUCUAUACUUACUUAUUUAUAUUUUAAAACUUUUUUAACUCAUUGUUUAUUUAGUUAGUAUUGUGUGUUAACAUUACUCUGUUAUUCCUUAGAAUAAUCACAUUUUUUGUUUUACACUCGUUAACAUAGGUCUAUUACAAAGAGAUCGCACAGAGCCGCCAGAGCCGCAUAACUAAAGAAUAACGUCAGCAGCAUUGGGCCAGCCGUAACAAUUAUAAGCAGAGGCAGAAGUCACGUAAGCGCUGACCUCUAGUGACGUUAUCAGCAUUCCUUUGUUGCAAUCGAAGCACCCGACUCUUGCUGCUGUCAUACGCAUUAUCAGUAUUGAAAAAUUCCUUGAGUGCGGCUCUUGCGUCUCUAGCUAGCUCUAUCUCUUUGAUAUACGAUCACUUAAGUAUUAUAGCCAGACGUAGUAUUAUACCUAAAUAGAAUCACAGCCUACCGCUAUUUUACGCUACCAUCGUCUUCGAGUCGAGACGCUGCGUUUUCUUUGAUAACAACUCAAACUAACCUUUAUUUACUUUGGAAUAAAGGUUGUGGUGAGGAUCUCAUAUGAGUUUUCUCCGUGUUUUAUUUUCUACUAAUUUCGACCGUAAUUCAACUCA